This 23-nucleotide microRNA is filed under the name Homo sapiens (human). Its description in RNAcentral is "hsa-miR-4741". Lineage: Eukaryota; Metazoa; Chordata; Mammalia; Primates; Hominidae. The record is from miRBase by way of RNAcentral.
CGGGCUGUCCGGAGGGGUCGGCU